Molecule: ribosomal RNA, 35 nt
Filed under: Teucrium lamiifolium subsp. lamiifolium
Lineage: Eukaryota; Viridiplantae; Streptophyta; Magnoliopsida; Lamiales; Lamiaceae
Description: partial 18S ribosomal RNA
Source: RNAcentral
AAGGUUUCCGUAGGUNAACCUGCGGAAGGAUCAUU